Molecule: transfer RNA, 89 nt
Filed under: Kitasatospora sp. MAP12-15
Lineage: Bacteria; Bacillati; Actinomycetota; Actinomycetes; Kitasatosporales; Streptomycetaceae
Also listed under: 3 other names
Description: tRNA-Gln
Rfam family: tRNA
About the family: Transfer RNA (tRNA) molecules are approximately 80 nucleotides in length. Their secondary structure includes four short double-helical elements and three loops (D, anti-codon, and T loops).
Source: RNAcentral
GGAGAGGUGCCCGGAGUGGCUUAUCGGGGACCGGGGCUCUGGUCCUGGUCGGGCGCAAGCCCACGCAGGUUCGAAUCCUGCCUUCUCCG